RNAcentral lists this long non-coding RNA (686 nucleotides) under Marmota monax (woodchuck). Lineage: Eukaryota; Metazoa; Chordata; Mammalia; Rodentia; Sciuridae. The record is from RNAcentral.
GGGCUACAAAAUAUGGCCCCAGAUUGUUUCCUGCCAGUUCCAGGUGUCUGUUCCUGUGGAGGAGGAAGCCAAUGGUGGGGGAUCUGCCUUUGUACAACCUGUGCCAGCUCAGGGCAGCCUGGUACAAUCCCUAGCCCCUUAAACAAUGCCUGCCACAGCAGAGGCACAUCAUGGAUGAUUUAAAUAAAAAUUAUUAUGACUGUGCAUUGCACAUUACUCUGUGCCAGAUGUUUUACAUUCAUUUUCUCAUUUAAUCCUUAUGAUAAUUCUAUGGCCCCCAUAUUACAGAUGAGAAAAGCUUGGCUCAGAUAUUAAGUGCCUCACCCAGAAUGGGCAUGUUGGAGCUGGAAGUUGAAUCAGGGCUGUCUUUCUGUGUCUGGGCCAUUACCCUGAUGAUAAGCUGGCAGCAGGGCCAUCGUGUGAUGUAGAAAUGGGUUAUAGAGAAAGAUGAUACGAGUAAAUGAUCUCUUCCAAUUCAUUCUUUUUCUUUUCUUUUUUUUUUUUUUAAAUCAUGGAGGAAUAUUUCUUGCCAGAUUUAUUUUUGAAAUUAUUCCAGUUAUAAUUUCUUUUAAGAUAUUUCUUUUUAAAAGCCCUUUAAAAAAACACAAAAUGUAAUUCCUAUAAUGAUAGCUUGAAAUAGAAACAGCCAUCAAUCACAUGAUGACUAUUUAGAAAAACCUCUGUUC